Long non-coding RNA from Hibiscus syriacus, 162 nucleotides. RefSeq lists it as uncharacterized. Lineage: Eukaryota; Viridiplantae; Streptophyta; Magnoliopsida; Malvales; Malvaceae. The transcript is spliced from 3 exons. The record is from RefSeq and is a predicted model, not a curated record.
GAGGACGUAAGCACAUUGCUGAACCUUGUUAAAAUUCUUGAAGCAUGACCACUAUUGUGGUUCGGCAAUAACUUUGAAGGAAGCAAGAAUGUUUACUUAAUUUGAGUACCUUGUCACAUUCAGAUAUUAGCUUUGGGUCAACAUUUAAUCCAACCUUCUUCU